GGGAGGAAAAGAAACUAACAAGGAUUUUCUUAGUAGCGGCGAGCGAAAAGAAAAUAGUUCAGCACUAAGUCACUUUGUCUUAAUGGCAAAUGUGAGAUGCAGUGUAUGGAAUGUCAAAUUUCUAGUAUGAGAAAUUAACGAUUUAAGUCCUUCUUAAAUGAGGCCAUUUACCCAAAGAGGGUGCCAGGCCCGUAUAACGUUAAUGAUUACUAGAUGGCAUUUCCAAAGAGUCGUGUUGCUUGAUAGUGCAGCACUAAGUGGGUGGUAAACUCCAUCUAAAACUAAAUAUAACCAUGAGACCGAUAGUAAACAAGUACCGUGAGGGAAAGUUGAAAAGAACUCUGAAUAGAGAGUUAAAUAGUACGUGAAACUGCUUAGAGGUUAAGCCCGAUGAACCUGAAUAUCCGUUAUGGAAAAUUCAUCAUUAUGAUUUUAAUAUUUAUAAUAUUAUAAUAAUGGUGUGCAUUUUUUCUAUAAAGGACAUUGUAAUCUAUUAACAUCAAAUAUUUAUCAUAAGAUCAAUUAUGCGAAAGUUUAUUUAAAUUAUUUUGCUUGCAAUUUAACAUAGAAUAAACGCUGUUGAUUUGAUAAAGUGUUGAUAGAUUUAUUAUAUAUAGUGCUUAAAUAUUUAUAUUUUAUAAUAGCAUAUUAAUCAUUGAUUUUUAUGUUUAUUAUAUGCACUUAUAUGAUUAACAAUGCGAAAGAUUCAGGAUACCUUCGGGACCCGUCUUGAAACACGGACCAAGGAGUCUAACAUAUUUGCAAGUUAUUGGGAAUUAAAACCUAAUAGCGAAAUUAACAUAACUUAUUUAAUGGGAUUAGUUUUUAGCCUAUUUAUAGUCUAUUAAUUCAAUCCCGGGGCGUUCUAUAUAGUUAUGUAUAAUAAUAUUUAUAUUAUUUAUACCUCUAACUAGAGCGUACCUUGAGCAUAUAUGCUGUGACCCGAAAGAUGGUGAACUAUACUUGAUCAGGUUGAAGUCAGGGGAAACCCUGAUGGAAGACCGAAACAG
This 1010-nucleotide ribosomal RNA is filed under the name Chloroprocta idioidea. RNAcentral's name for it is "eukaryotic LSU rRNA". It matches the Rfam family "Eukaryotic large subunit ribosomal RNA", at positions 51 to 883 of the family's 3401-position model. Lineage: Eukaryota; Metazoa; Arthropoda; Insecta; Diptera; Calliphoridae. The record is from RNAcentral.